AUACGGAGGAUCCGAGCGUUAUCCGGAUUUAUUGGGUUUAAAGGGCGCGCAGGCGGCCAUUUAAGUCAGCGGUUAAAUCGUGGGGCUCAACCCCAUUCUGCCGUUGAUACUGGGUGGCUUGAUUGCGGUCGAGGUUGGCGGAAUUCGUUGUGUAGGGGUGAAAUGCAUAGAUAUGACGAAGAACACCGAUUGCGUAGGCAGCUGACCAGACCGCAAAUGACGCUCAUGCACGAAAGUGCGGGGAUCGAACAGGAUUAGAUACCCUGGUAGUCCGCACAGUAAACGAUGAAUACUUGUUUUCGGCGAUAUAAUGUCGGAGGCAAAGCGAAAGCGAUAAGUAUUCCACCUGGGGAGUACGCCGGCAACGGUGAAACUCAAAUGAAUUGACGGGG
RNAcentral lists this ribosomal RNA (392 nucleotides) under uncultured bacterium. RNAcentral's name for it is "partial 16S ribosomal RNA". It matches the Rfam family "Bacterial small subunit ribosomal RNA", at positions 523 to 918 of the family's 1533-position model. The record is from RNAcentral.